GCCAUCCUGAGAGGUAAUUCUCACAUGCACCUUGUUGUGCAGGCAGCAAGAGAAGAUGCAUCCUCAGGAAAUCACAAACCUCACAGGAAGUGUUAUUUUCCAUCAACGGUAACUGCCUGUGUGCAGUUCUGGGAGGACAGAGCUGAAACAAGACAAGAAGAAAAGCUGCAGAAGUAAAACUACCUCUAAAGCUCCUUUUAAACACACAGCACAGGAGGGAACAAAUGGACACUGAUUAUGAUGAAACCUUUUGCUUCCUGUAGUGUUUGGCAUUCCUUAAUAUGUCCUGAUAGCUUUGAUUUCCUCUCCUCCAUUGCAGCAUCAAAGAAUGCUGCACCAACACCAUGCUGUCCACGUCUGGAUGACACAGUGGAAAUGAGCUGAGUGCACAGUGAACUUUAUUGCUGCAGAGAACCUGCCAGAACUCAUCACACCUUGUAGCUGACACCUUCCUGUGCCAGGCUCAGGCAAAGGACAAGAACGGAGAUCUUCAAACAUGUCUGGUCUUCUCUCUUUGUUUCCUUGAACCUUUCAACAGUUCCAGCCUGACCACACUUGUGUUGUACUAUGGAGUGCCUAGAAAAUAUAGAUGCCCUAAGCCCUCAGUCAGGUUCCC
This is a long non-coding RNA of Zonotrichia leucophrys gambelii, 616 nucleotides long. RefSeq lists it as uncharacterized. The record is from RefSeq and is a predicted model, not a curated record. The transcript has 4 exons. NCBI's taxonomy places the organism in Eukaryota, Metazoa, Chordata, Aves, Passeriformes, Passerellidae.